This 514-nucleotide ribosomal RNA is filed under the name uncultured bacterium. RNAcentral describes it as "partial 16S ribosomal RNA". It matches the Rfam family "Bacterial small subunit ribosomal RNA", at positions 28 to 523 of the family's 1533-position model. The record is from RNAcentral.
GAUGAACGCUGGCGGCGUGCCUAAUACAUGCAAGUCGAGCGCGAGAGUGAGGAGCUUGCUCCUCAUGAUCGAGCGGCGGACGGGUGAGUAACACGUAAGCAACCUACCCUUGAGAUUGGGAUAACUACCGGAAACGGUAGCUAAUACCGGAUACGACUUUUCCACAUAAGUGGAAUGGUUAAAAGGCGGAUUUAUCUGCCGCUCAUGGAUGGGCCUGCGGUGCAUUAGCUAGUUGGUGAGGUAGUGGCGCACCAAGGCGACGAUGCAUAGCCGACCGGAGAGGGUGAUCGGCCACACUGGGACUGAGACACGGCCCAGACUCCUACGGGAGGCAGCAGUAGGGAAUCUUCCGCAAUGGACGAAAGUCUGACGGAGCAACGCCGCGUGAGUGAUGAAGGGUUUCGGCUCGUAAAACUCUGUUGUUAAGGAAGAACACUUGAGGUAGUAACUGGCCUUGAGAUGACGGUACUUAACCAGAAAGCCACGGCUAACUACGUGCCAGCCGCCGCGGUAA